This 890-nucleotide long non-coding RNA is filed under the name Salmo salar (Atlantic salmon). RNAcentral describes it as "lncRNA (ENSSSAG00000109833.1)". Lineage: Eukaryota; Metazoa; Chordata; Actinopteri; Salmoniformes; Salmonidae. The record is from RNAcentral.
GGGGAAUCACUCUAAGGACAGGGCUGGAGUGAAUCACUCUAAGGACAGGGCUGGGGUGAAUCACUCUAAGGACAGGGCUGGGGUGAAUCACCGUAAGGACAGGACUGGGGUGAAUCAUUCUAACGACAGGGCUGGGGGUGAAUCACUCUAAGGACAGGGCUGGGGGUGAAUCACUCUAAGGACAGGACUGGGGUGAAUCACUCUAAGGAAAGGGCUGGGAGUGAAUCACUCAAAGGACAGGGCUAGGGGUGAAUCACUCUAAGGACAGGGCUGUGGUGAAUCACUCUAGGGACAGGGCUGGGGGUGAAUCACUGUAAGGACAGGACUGGGGUGAAUCACUCUAAGGACAGGGCUGGGGGUGAAUCACUCUAAGGACAGGGCUAGGGGUGAAUCACUCUAAGGACAGGGCUGGGGUGAAUCACUCUAAGGAAAGGGCUGGGAGUGAAUCACUCAAAGGACAGGGCUAGGGGUGAAUCACUCUAAGGACAGGGCUGUGGUGAAUCACUCUAAGGACAGGGCUGGGGGUGAAUCACUCUAAGGACAGGGCUGUGGUGAAUCACUCUAAGGACAGGGCUGGGGGUGAAUCACUGUAAGGACAGGGCUGUGGUGAAUCACUCUAAGGACAGGGCUGGGGGUGAAUCACUCUAAGGACAGGGCUGUGGUGAAUCACUCUAAGGACAGGGCUGGGGGUGAAUCACUCUAAGGACAGGGCUGGGGUGAAUCACUCUAAGGACAGGAGUGGGGUGAAUCACUCUAAGGACAGGAGUGGGGUGAAUCACUCUAAGGAGAGGGCUGGGGUGAAUCACUCUAAGGACAGGGCUGUGGGUGAAUCACUCUAAGUACAGGGCUGGGGUGAAUCACUCUAAGGACAGGGCUGGGGUGAAUCACUC